UCGUAACAAGGUUUCCGUAGGUGAACCUGCGGAAGGAUCAUUACCGAGCGAGAAUUCUCUGAAUUCAACCUCCCACCCGUGUUUAUUGUACCUUGUUGCUUCGGCGGGCCCGCCUCACGGCCGCCGGGGGGCAUCUGCCCCCGGGCCCGCGCCCGCCGAAGACACCUUGAACUCUGUAUGAAAAUUGCAGUCUGAGUCUAAAUAUAAAUUAUUUAAAACUUUCAACAACGGAUCUCUUGGUUCCGGCAUCGAUGAAGAACGCAGCGAAAUGCGAUACGUAAUGUGAAUUGCAGAAUUCAGUGAAUCAUCGAGUCUUUGAACGCACAUUGCGCCCCCUGGUAUUCCGGGGGGCAUGCCUGUCCGAGCGUCAUUGCUGCCCUCAAGCCCGGCUUGUGUGUUGGGUCUCGUCCCCCUUCCCGGGGGGACGGGCCCGAAAGGCAGCGGCGGCACCGCGUCCGGUCCUCGAGCGUAUGGGGCUUUGUCACCCGCUCUGUAGGCCCGGCCGGCGCUUGCCGAUCAACCAAAACUUUUUUCCAGGUUGACCUCGGAUCAGGUAGGGAUACCCGCUGAACUUAAGCAUAUCAAUAA
This 588-nucleotide unclassified non-coding RNA is filed under the name Penicillium janczewskii. RNAcentral's name for it is "sequence contains 18S rRNA gene, ITS1, 5.8S rRNA gene, ITS2, 28S rRNA gene". The stretch from base 217 to 370 matches the Rfam family "5.8S ribosomal RNA". The record is from RNAcentral. RNAcentral also lists the same sequence under 1 other name. Lineage: Eukaryota; Fungi; Ascomycota; Eurotiomycetes; Eurotiales; Aspergillaceae.